RNAcentral lists this transfer RNA (72 nucleotides) under Saccoglossus kowalevskii. RNAcentral's name for it is "tRNA-Cys". It matches the Rfam family "tRNA". Rfam says of the family: Transfer RNA (tRNA) molecules are approximately 80 nucleotides in length. Their secondary structure includes four short double-helical elements and three loops (D, anti-codon, and T loops). Lineage: Eukaryota; Metazoa; Hemichordata; Enteropneusta; Harrimaniidae. The record is from RNAcentral.
GGGGAUAUAGCUGAGUGGUAGAGCAUUCUACUGCAGAUCGAGAGGUCCCUGGUUCGAACCCGGGUGUCCCCU